GGAUCCAGACUUUGAUUCUGGCUCAGAUUGAACGCUGGCGGCGUGCCUAACACAUGCAAGUCGAACGCGAAAGUUUCUUCGGAAAUGAGUAGAGUGGCGCACGGGUGAGUAACGCGUGGAUUAUCUACCUACUGGUACGGGACAACAGUUGGAAACGACUGCUAAUACCGUAUACGCUGGUAACCGGGAAAGGGGGCCUCUUCUUGAAAGCUCUCGCCAGUAGAUGAGUCCGCGUUUCAUUAGCUAGACGGUGGGGUAACGGCCUACCGUGGCAACGAUGAAUAGCAGGCCUGAGAGGGUGGCCUGCCACACUGGGACUGGAACACGGCCCAGACUCCUACGGGAGGCAGCAGUGGGGAAUAUUGCGCAAUGGACGAAAGUCUGACGCAGCGACGCCGCGCGGAGGAUGAAGGUUUUCGGAUCGUAAACUCCUGUCANGAGGGGAGAACCUAUCAUGAAUAAUACUCAUGGUAAUUGACGGUACCUCUAGAGGAAGCACCGGCUAAUUCAGUGCCAGCAGCCCCGGUAAU
Molecule: ribosomal RNA, 530 nt
Filed under: uncultured bacterium
Lineage: Bacteria
Description: bacterial SSU rRNA
Rfam family: Bacterial small subunit ribosomal RNA
Source: RNAcentral